UGUUUGUUGUACUUUAUUGUAGUAGACGGACUCUUAAUCAGCGGGUCGAAGGUUCGAAUCCUUCACGGCCCACCA
Molecule: transfer RNA, 75 nt
Filed under: Gammaproteobacteria bacterium
Lineage: Bacteria; Pseudomonadati; Pseudomonadota; Gammaproteobacteria
Description: tRNA-Lys
Source: RNAcentral